RNAcentral lists this ribosomal RNA (512 nucleotides) under uncultured Glomus. RNAcentral describes it as "SSU rRNA". It matches the Rfam family "Eukaryotic small subunit ribosomal RNA", at positions 569 to 1078 of the family's 1831-position model. Lineage: Eukaryota; Fungi; Glomeromycota; Glomeromycetes; Glomerales; Glomeraceae. The record is from RNAcentral.
AGCAGCCGCGGUAAUUCCAGCUCCAAUAGCGUAUAUUAAAGUUGUUGCAGUUAAAAAGCUCGUAGUUGAAUUUCGGGAUCAAUAUAUCGGUCAUGCUUAGGUAUGUACUGGUAUUAUUGAUUUCUCCCUUCUGAAGAACCAUGAUGUCAUUAAUUUGAUGUCGUGGGGAAUCAGGACUGUUACUUUGAAAAAAUUAGAGUGUUUAAAGCAGGCAUACGCUUGAAUACAUUAGCAUGGAAUAAUGAAAUAGGACGUUUUGAUUCUAUUUUGUUGGUUUCUAGGAUCGACGUAAUGAUUAAUAGGGAUAGUUGGGGGCAUUAGUAUUCAAUUGUCAGAGGUGAAAUUCUUGGAUUUAUUGAAGACUAAACUACUGCGAAAGCAUUUGCCAAGGAUGUUUUCAUUAAAUCAAAGAACGAAAGUUAGGGGAUCGAAGACGAUCAGAUACCGUCGUAAGUCUUAACCAUAAACUAUGCCGACUAGGGAUCGGAUUGAUGUAAUUUUUAAUGACUCAA